Molecule: long non-coding RNA, 1608 nt
Organism: Astatotilapia calliptera (eastern happy)
Lineage: Eukaryota; Metazoa; Chordata; Actinopteri; Cichliformes; Cichlidae
Source: Ensembl
GUGUUGGUGGUUCUUUGUGUCUGGGGGUGGGCGUCCGGGUACACACCGGCUCACUCCUUGGCGGCCGCUUGUCGGGGCCUGGGGCCUGGGGCUCGCUCGGGCCCCUUUGGAGGUGGGGUGCCCCCGGCCUCUCGGCCUGGGGCUCGGUCACUCAGGCGCAGCUGGGGGCCGGCGGAGCUCACGGGCGCGUCACUGCAACUCCCCCUGACUUCUGCUCCGCGGCUGCUGGGCGAGCCCUCAUCUGGGACUCUCCUCGGCUCUUACUGGGACAGUGGCGCGGCUGCCCCUCUGUUGGUCUUCCAUGGUCUCUUGUGUUCUGGGGGCCUCUGGAUGUCUGGAGUUUUGAUCUCCUCCAUACCCGCUUCACACCCUGGAGGACGGGGCUGUGGCCCCCCCACACUCCCUAGCAGAUCAUUACAUGGAGAAACCUUUGGAAUGCAAGCAUGCUGAUCCACACAGGUAUGCACACAGACGCGGACUAAAGCUUUCUUGGCUGCUGCCUCAAAGCACACUGUGCGCUGUCUAUCUUGCGUGCUGCACAAUAUCGUUUAUUAUUUAGUAAAUAUUGAUAUCUAUGACUAGCUAGUUUAUUGUGAUGGUGCUUUGUUUUCUCUAUUAUUAUGUUGCUCUUUGUUGUUUGCUGUCUCCUCUGUUUGUUUUUGUUUGUUUUUUUUUUUUUUUCUCCAUACAGGUGACCCAGGAGUUUUUUUUUUUUUUUCUCUCUCUUCCCCCCCCUUCUCACCGUCUCUUCUCCCCUUUGGUUUUCUUUCUUUCUCUCCCCCUCUUUCUCUCAUUCAUUCCCCCUGUCCUAUUUAUUAAAAAAAAAAAAAAAAAAAAAAAAAAAAAAAAGACAAAGGAUGAACUGAAGCUCUGCCAUCACGUAAUGUCGCAUACUGCUGUUUCUGAUGUCAUUUAGAAAAAAAAAAAAAAAAAAAAAAAAAGAAGCAUGGCGGUCUCCACAAACCGACCCCGCUGCUAAGAUCUGUUAUAAAAACACUGAAACUGUAUCCAUGAUAUUAUAAUUUCCUAUUUAAAGGUGAUGAGAAAACAAAAUAUAAAAUAUCAAAAACUGUGGCUAAUUCACAGCAAAUAUAUAAGUGACUCAUAUCAAAACUAAAAUCAUGGUCAAAUCUAAAAAUAAUAUAAAAUAGUCCCAAAUAAUAAAUUCUACAACCACAAUGCAAACUAUACAAAAGGUCUGGCAAAUUAAAAUCAUGUUCAUGGAUAACUGUGCAUAACUGCUAAAGAGAAAGAGGAAACAAGAGAAUACUGUUACACUUUUGUAAGACUAAAGUAACAGCAUUGACAGAUUUUGGCUUUAAGCAUAGAAAAUAGUGUUAAAAAGGCUGGUUUAGUUUAACAUUUUUUAAAAAGUAGCCAAUCAAGAACAUAUGAUGAUGAUAUCACAUGCAAACUAUAAUUGACUAUUUUAGUCAGUCCUUACCCUCGAACAGCUGCCAGACUACAUCCCCACUUUACUUUUCUAUUCAUAGACACAUGCAUGCUUCUAUUCAAACCUUUCUCAUUUGAUCCAUAUGGCUGUUCAUGCCCCCUCCUCACCCCUUAUGGUAAAAUCCUAACCUCAGCAGUGUUCUGUGUCAUGCCUCC